UACGGGGGGAGCAAGCGUUGUUCGGAUUUACUGGGCGUAAAGGGCGCGUAGGCGGCCACGACAAGUCACUUGUGAAAUCUCCGGGCUUAACUCGGAACGGUCAAGUGAUACUGUCGGGCUAGAGUGCGGAAGGGGCAACUGGAAUUCUCGGUGUAGCGGUGAAAUGCGUAGAUAUCGAGAGGAACACCUGCGGCGAAGGCGGGUUGCUGGGCCGACACGUGACGCUGAGGCGCGAAAGCUAGGGGAGCGAACGGG
Molecule: ribosomal RNA, 255 nt
Filed under: uncultured bacterium
Lineage: Bacteria
Description: partial 16S ribosomal RNA
Rfam family: Bacterial small subunit ribosomal RNA
Source: RNAcentral